This 696-nucleotide ribosomal RNA is filed under the name uncultured archaeon. RNAcentral describes it as "bacterial SSU rRNA". It matches the Rfam family "Archaeal small subunit ribosomal RNA", at positions 131 to 832 of the family's 1478-position model. The record is from RNAcentral.
CCCGGGAAACUGGGGGUAAUACUCCAUAUUUCGUGUUGACUGGAAUGUUACGCGAAAGAAAGAUCCGUCGCUUCAGGAUGAGUCUGCGGCCGAUUAGGUAGUUGUCGGGGUAACGUCCCAACAAGCCAGUGAUCGGUACGGGUUGUGGGAGCAAGAGCCCGGAGAUGGAUUCUGAGACAUGAAUCCAGGCCCUACGGGGCGCAGCAGGCGCGAAAACUUUGCAAUGCGGGAAACCGUGACAAGGGAACUCCGAGUGCCCGUAAAUUCGGGCUGUCCGCCAGUUUAAACAACUGGUGAAGAAAGGGCCGGGCAAGACCGGUGCCAGCCGCCGCGGUAAUACCGGCGGCUCGAGUGGUGGCCACUAUUACUGGGCUUAAAGCGUUCGUAGCUGGCUUGUUAAGUCUCUGGGGAAAUCUUCCGGCUCAACCGGAAGGCGUCUCAGGGAUACUGGCAGGCUAGGGACCGGUAGAGGUGAGGGGUACUCCAGGGGUAGGAGUGAAAUCCUGUAAUCCUUGGGGGACCACCUGUGGCGAAGGCGCCUCACCAGAACGGCUCCGACAGUGAGGAACGAAAGCUGGGGGAGCAAACCGGAUUAGAUACCCGGGUAGUCCCAGCUGUAAACGAUGCGCGUUAGGUGUAUCGGUGACCACGAGUCACCGAGGUGCCGAAGAGAAAUCGUGAAACGUGCCGCCUGGG